This 505-nucleotide ribosomal RNA is filed under the name uncultured Sphingobacterium sp. RNAcentral describes it as "bacterial SSU rRNA". It matches the Rfam family "Bacterial small subunit ribosomal RNA", at positions 370 to 875 of the family's 1533-position model. The record is from RNAcentral. Lineage: Bacteria; Pseudomonadati; Bacteroidota; Sphingobacteriia; Sphingobacteriales; Sphingobacteriaceae.
AAUGGAGGGAACUCUGAACCAGCCAUGCCGCGUGCAGGAUGACUGCCCUAUGGGUUGUAAACUGCUUUUGUCAGGGAAUAAACCUUUCUACGUGUAGGAAGCUGAAUGUACCUGAAGAAUAAGGAUCGGCUAACUCCGUGCCAGCAGCCGCGGUAAUACGGAGGAUCCAAGCGUUAUCCGGAUUUAUUGGGUUUAAAGGGUGCGUAGGCGGUCCUAUAAGUCAGUGGUGAAAGACGGCAGCUUAACUGUCGCAGUGCCUUUGAUACUGUAGGACUUGAAUCUAUUUGAAGUGGGCGGAAUAAGACAAGUAGCGGUGAAAUGCAUAGAUAUGUCUUAGAACUCCGAUUGCGAAGGCAGCUCACUAAGUUAGUAUUGACGCUGAUGCACGAAAGCGUGGGGAUCAAACAGGAUUAGAUACCCUGGUAGUCCACGCCCUAAACGAUGAUAACUCGAUGUUUGCGAUACACAGUAAGCGUCCAAGCGAAAGCGUUAAGUUAUCCACCUG